UGGAGAGGAACUGUUGCAUCAGCCCUCCUCUGGGGUUUAUAGCUGAAAGCUCAACAGUUUUUCCUCAGUGAUACAGAUCAGACCAGAAAAACAACAAGAAGACCAGAAUGUCUUUCAUCUGCAUCUGUGUCUUGGCCGUCACUUUCUACACCCAAGGGUGUACAGCAGACAUUUUGCUGACCCAGACUCCAGAAUCAGUGACAGUCCAGCAGGGAGAUUCUGCCACCAUCAGCUGUAAAGCCAGCGUCGCCAUCGAUGAUGACUUAGUCUGGUACCAACAGAAACCAGGAGGAGCUCCUAAAUUCAUCAUUGAUUUAAAUACUGGUAUGACUUCAGGUCGAUACCAAGGCAGUGGAAAUGAUCCUAGUUACAGUCUGACCAUCAGUAACGUCCAGGCAGAAGAUGCAGGAGUUUAUUACUGUCAGCAUCAUGAAGCCUUACCGCUCACACAGUGAAAAACAGCUGAACAAAAACCUCCCUCAGUGAAAGAGGAAGUGACUCUACCAGCUUAGAGAGAACCAACGGCAAAGAUUCAACAUUCAGCAGUUUGCAGAUAUUUCAGCCAGGAUGAAGGAAUUUUUAUCAGUG
Myripristis murdjan (pinecone soldierfish) is the source of this 588-nucleotide non-coding RNA. Lineage: Eukaryota; Metazoa; Chordata; Actinopteri; Holocentriformes; Holocentridae. The record is from the annotation of a RefSeq genome assembly.